GGAAAGUUGCAGGAGUGGUUGAACUGGCUCGCCUGGAACGCGAGUAUCCGCCUUGGCGGAUCAAGGGUUCGAAUCCCUUACUUUCCU
This 87-nucleotide transfer RNA is filed under the name Chitinophagales bacterium. Its description in RNAcentral is "tRNA-Ser". It matches the Rfam family "tRNA". Rfam says of the family: Transfer RNA (tRNA) molecules are approximately 80 nucleotides in length. Lineage: Bacteria; Pseudomonadati; Bacteroidota; Chitinophagia; Chitinophagales. The record is from RNAcentral.